GACGAACGCUGACGGCGUGCUUAACACAUGCAAGUCGAACGCUGAAGCUUGGUGCUUGCACUGGGUGGAUGAGUGGCGAACGGGUGAGUAAUACGUGAGUAACCUGCCCUUGACUCUGGGAUAAGCCUGGGAAACUGGGUCUAAUACUGGAUACGACAUGUCACCGCAUGGUGGUGUGUGGAAAGGGUUUUACUGGUUUUGGAUGGGCUCACGGCCUAUCAGCUUGUUGGUGGGGUAAUGGCUCACCAAGGCGACGACGGGUAGCCGGCCUGAGAGGGUGACCGGCCACACUGGGACUGAGACACGGCCCAGACUCCUACGGGAGGCAGCAGUGGGGAAUAUUGCACAAUGGGCGGAAGCCUGAUGCAGCGACGCCGCGUGAGGGAUGACGGCCUUCGGGUUGUAAACCUCUUUCAGCACGGAAGAAGCGAAAGUGACGGUACGUGCAGAAGAAGCGCCGGCUAACUACGUG
This 472-nucleotide ribosomal RNA is filed under the name uncultured bacterium. RNAcentral describes it as "partial 16S ribosomal RNA". It matches the Rfam family "Bacterial small subunit ribosomal RNA", at positions 28 to 507 of the family's 1533-position model. The record is from RNAcentral.